GAUGAACGCUGGCGGCGUGCCUAAUACAUGCAAGUCGAGCGAACAGACGAGGAGCUUGCUCCUCUGACGUUAGCGGCGGACGGGUGAGUAACACGUGGAUAACCUACCUAUAAGACUGGGAUAACAUCGGGAAACCGGAGCUAAUACCGGAUAAUAUAUUGAACCGCAUGGUUCAAUAGUGAAAGACGGUUUUGCUGUCACUUAUAGAUGGAUCCGCGCCGCAUUAGCUAGUUGGUAAGGUAACGGCUUACCAAGGCAACGAUGCGUAGCCGACCUGAGAGGGUGAUCGGCCACACUGGAACUGAGACACGGUCCAGACUCCUACGGGAGGCAGCAGUAGGGAAUCUUCCGCAAUGGGCGAAAGCCUGACGGAGCCACGCCGCGUGAGUGAUGAAGGUCUUCGGAUCGUAAAACUCUGUUAUUAGGGAAGAACAAAUGUGUAAGUAACUCUGCACGUCUUGACGGUACCUAAUCAGAAAGCCACGGCUAACUACGUG
Molecule: ribosomal RNA, 497 nt
Filed under: uncultured bacterium
Lineage: Bacteria
Description: partial 16S ribosomal RNA
Rfam family: Bacterial small subunit ribosomal RNA
Source: RNAcentral